This 119-nucleotide ribosomal RNA is filed under the name Anolis carolinensis (green anole). The record is from RNAcentral. Lineage: Eukaryota; Metazoa; Chordata; Lepidosauria; Squamata; Anolidae.
UUCUUGAGCCCAAAUAAAUUAAAUUGACCAGAUCCUGUCUGAUCUUGGAAGCUAAACAAGUUCAGUCCUGGUUAGUACUUGGAUGGGAGACUGCCAGCAAAUACCAGAUGCUGUAGUCU